RNAcentral lists this ribosomal RNA (492 nucleotides) under uncultured bacterium. RNAcentral's name for it is "partial 16S ribosomal RNA". It matches the Rfam family "Bacterial small subunit ribosomal RNA", at positions 29 to 507 of the family's 1533-position model. The record is from RNAcentral.
AGUGAACGCUGGCGGUGUGCCUAACACAUGCAAGUCGAGCGGCCACACGGUGAGCUCUUGCCUUUACGGUUGGCGAGUGGCGGACGGGUGAGGCGUACAUCGGCUACUUCUUUUUCGGGGGUGAUUACGUAGGGCAACUUACGCUAAUGCAGCAUACUUCCUACGGCUGGAAUCAGUAGUUCUUGGUACCUUUCGCGACUGUAUUAGCCGGCGUCGUAUUAGCUAGUUGGCUGGGUAAAGGCCCACCAAGGCGACGAUGCGUAGCUGGUCUGAGAGGAUGAUCGGCCACACUGGAACUGAGACACGGUCCAGACCCCUACGGGAGGCAGCAGUGGGGAAUCUUGCGCAAUGGGCGAAAGCCUGAUGCAGCAAUGCCGCGUGAGUGAUGAAGGUCUUCGGGUUGUAAAGCCCUGUUAUUGGGGAAGAACAAACGCGGAAGUAACUCUGGACGUCUUGACGGUACCUAAACAGAAAGCACCGGCUAACUUCGUG